AGCAGCCGCGGUAAUUCCAGCUCCAAUAGCGUAUAUUAAAGUUGCUGCAGUUAAAAAGCUCGUAGUUGAAUUUCGGGAUCAAUUUACUGGUCGUGCCUACGGUACGUACUGGUAUUGUUGGUUCCUCCUUUCUGAGGAGCCGCGAUGUCAUUAACUUGGUGUCGCGGGGAAUCAGGACUGUUACUUUGAAAAAAUUAGAGUGUUUAAAGCAGGCUAACGCUUGAAUACAUUAGCAUGGAAUAAUGAAAUAGGACGUUUGAUCCUAUUUUGUUGGUUUCUAGGGUCGACGUAAUGAUUAAUAGGGAUAGUUGGGGGCAUUAGUAUUCAAUUGUCAGAGGUGAAAUUCUUGGAUUUAUUGAAGACUAACUACUGCGAAAGCAUUUGCCAAGGAUGUUUUCAUUAAUCAAGAACGAAAGUUAGGGGAUCGAAGACGAUCAGAUACCGUCGUAGUCUUAACCAUAAACUAUGCCGACUAGGGAUCGGAUGAUGUUAAUUUUUUAAUGUACUCAUUCGGCGCCUUACGGGAAAA
Molecule: ribosomal RNA, 529 nt
Filed under: uncultured fungus
Lineage: Eukaryota; Fungi
Description: SSU rRNA
Rfam family: Eukaryotic small subunit ribosomal RNA
Source: RNAcentral